This 301-nucleotide ribosomal RNA is filed under the name uncultured bacterium. RNAcentral describes it as "partial 16S ribosomal RNA". It matches the Rfam family "Bacterial small subunit ribosomal RNA", at positions 509 to 808 of the family's 1533-position model. The record is from RNAcentral.
CAGCAGCCACGGUAACACGUAGGUGGCGAGCGUUGUCCGGAAUUAUUGGGCGUAAAGGGAGCGCAGGCGGGCGAGUAAGUCUUUCUUAAAAGUGCGGGGCUCAACCCCGUGAGGGGAGGGAAACUACUCAUCUUGAGUGCAGGAGAGGAAAGCGGAACUCCUAGUGUAGCGGUGAAAUGCGUAGAUAUUAGGAAGAACACCAGUGGCGAAGGCGGCUCACUGGUCCAUUACUGACGCUGAGGUGCGAAAGCGUGGGGAGCAAACAGGAUUAGAUACCCGCGUAGUCCCUGUCUCUUAUACA